GUCGCACCUACCGAUUGAAUGGUCCGGUGAGGCCUCGAGAUUGUGGCCCCCGCCAUUAAUUUGGUGGAGGCCGCGAGAACUUGUCCAAACCUUAUCAUUUAGAGGAAGGUG
Molecule: ribosomal RNA, 111 nt
Filed under: uncultured eukaryote
Lineage: Eukaryota
Description: partial small subunit ribosomal RNA
Rfam family: Eukaryotic small subunit ribosomal RNA
Source: RNAcentral